CCUACGGGGGGCAGCAGUGGGGAAUAUUGCACAAUGGGGGAAACCCUGAUGCAGCAACGCCGCGUGAGCGAGGAGGGCCUUCGGGUCGUAAAGCUCUGUCCUAAGGGAAGAAUACUGACGGUACCUUAGGAGGAAGCCCGGGCUAACUACGUGCCAGCAGCCGCGGUAAUACGUAGGGGGCUAGCGUUAUCCGGAAUUACUGGGCGUAAAGGGUGCGUAGGCGGCCCUUCAAGUCAGAGGUGAAAGGCUACGGCUCAACCGUAGUAAGCCUUGGAAACUGUAGGGCUUGAGUGCAGGAGAGGAGUGUGAGAUUCCGAGUGUAGCGGUGAAGUGCGUAGAGAUUGGGCGGAGGACCAGUUGCGAAGGCGGCUCUCUGGACUGUAACUGACGCUGAGGCACGAAAGCGUGGGGAGCGAACAGGAUUAUAUACCCUUGUAGUC
Molecule: ribosomal RNA, 440 nt
Filed under: uncultured bacterium
Lineage: Bacteria
Description: bacterial SSU rRNA
Rfam family: Bacterial small subunit ribosomal RNA
Source: RNAcentral